Molecule: long non-coding RNA, 740 nt
Organism: Cucumis melo (muskmelon)
Lineage: Eukaryota; Viridiplantae; Streptophyta; Magnoliopsida; Cucurbitales; Cucurbitaceae
Exons: 4
Source: RefSeq, a predicted model, not a curated record
UAAAAUAAACCAUAAAUUCUCCCAAAACCCUCUAAAACUCCAGAAAUUACUCCUCCAUUUUGCCUUUUUUUUUCUCUCAAUUAAUUUCAAGAAUUAUUUUUUUUAUGGCGGGCUAAUCACCAAGAGAUUCAAGAUACUUACUUAGCCACCAUUAUCUUGGAUUCGACACUAGUACUUCCUACCAAACUACGGUAAAAAGUAAGGGUAAAAUUCAAAUUCUUUUUGUCGAGGCAAAUCUAGGGGGAGGUUCCUAUAUAAAGUCGCCUCUUGCAGAGAUUGUGGCUUGCUAGGCCAUCACAAUGAUCAAUGCCCGAAGCUUAAAGAGGUAAGUGCCAUGGGAGGUUUCAGAAGAAAUGAUUCACAGAGUAACACCUAUAACUCUGGUUGGAGGGACCAUCCAAAUCUCAAGUGGGGACCUUAAGAAUCAAAACCUACCAACACUUCUUCUUCCUCCUAAUCAUCACAAGGUUAUGAGAUUACAGGACAUCAAAGGCGUGUGCGUGAGGAGAAGACGACACGUGGCAUGCGUAGAUUGGUAGAGAGUGGAGAACGUACGCGCGUGAAGUGUUUUGAAAAUGGGGAAUAAAGGAAUACGCUCGGCUGGGAUUCGAACUCGCGACCUUGAGGUGUUUUAUUUGCGUGGAAGUAUUGAAUCUUUUUGGUUAUUUACCAACUGGUUUUUGAUCUUCGAUUUACUCGUUUUUCUUUGUUCGGACUUCGCUUUAAGUGUUUUUCAUUGC